UUCCGGUUGAUCCUGCCGGAGGCCACUGCUAUCGGGCUCCGACUAAGCCAUGCGAGUCAAGGGGCUCCUUCGGGAGCACCGGCGGACGGCUCAGUAACACGUGGACAACCUACCCUCGGGUGGGGGAUAACCUCGGGAAACUGAGGCUAAUACCCCAUAGGUCUCGGGUACUGGAAGGUCCCGAGGCCGAAAGCUCCGGCGCCCGAGGAUGGGUCUGCGGCCUAUCAGGUAGUUGGUGGUGUAAAGGACCACCAAGCCUGCGACGGGUACGGGCCCUGAGAGGGGGAGCCCGGAGAUGGACUCUGAGACACGAGUCCAGGCCCCACGGGGCGCAGCAGGCGCGAAACCUUCGCAAUGCGCGAAAGCGCGACGAGGGGAGCCCGAGUGCCCUUCCUUCGGGGAGGGCUUUUCUGGAGCCUAAAAAGCUCCAGGAAUAAGGGCUGGGCAAGACGGGUGCCAGCCGCCGCGGUAAUACCCGCAGCUCGAGUGGUGGCCACUAUUAUUGAGCCUAAAGCGUCCGUAGCCGGACCCGUAAAUCCCUGGGUAAAUCCUACCGCUUAACGGUAGGAAUUCCGGGGAGACUGCGGGUCUUGGGACCGGGAGAGGCCGGAGGUACUCCCUGGGGUAGCUGGUGAAAUGCUGUAAUCCCUGGGGGGACCUACCUGUGGCGAAAGCUGUCCUGGCUUGAACUGGCUCCUAACUGGUGAGGGACUGAAGGCCUAGGGGAGCUAAACCUGGAUUAGAUACCCUGGGUAGUCCUUGGCUUGUAAACUGCUGCCCUGCUUGGUGUUGUCUGGUCUCUCUGGGGGCCUGGCUAGUGCCGGAGCGAAGGUGUUAAGCUGGGCCUGCUUGGGAAGUACUGGCCUGCUAAGGCUUGAAACUUAAAGGAAUUGGCUGGGG
This 900-nucleotide ribosomal RNA is filed under the name uncultured archaeon. Its description in RNAcentral is "bacterial SSU rRNA". It matches the Rfam family "Archaeal small subunit ribosomal RNA", at positions 1 to 874 of the family's 1478-position model. The record is from RNAcentral.